AUCCUCCAUUGUAUACUCCCUCUGCCAAUUUGCAACAAGUCCAAACUUCUUUGGUUCCACCUGUUGCCAUUCCAUACCAUCAAAUUCUAAGUCGCAUGUUUUCUCUCAUAAUACUAUUUAACCGUAUGAAUAUACAGUAUGGAGAUGAUUUUAA
Hibiscus syriacus is the source of this 154-nucleotide long non-coding RNA. RefSeq lists it as uncharacterized. The record is from RefSeq and is a predicted model, not a curated record. The transcript has 3 exons. NCBI's taxonomy places the organism in Eukaryota, Viridiplantae, Streptophyta, Magnoliopsida, Malvales, Malvaceae.